GCUUGGAUGGCUCAGUUGGUUAGAGCGCAGGUCUCAUACAGUCGUAUGACCAUCUUCGGAUGGGCAAUCCUGAGGUCGUGAGUUCGAUCCUCACUCCGAGCA
Lentinus tigrinus ALCF2SS1-7 is the source of this 102-nucleotide non-coding RNA. Lineage: Eukaryota; Fungi; Basidiomycota; Agaricomycetes; Polyporales; Polyporaceae. The record is from the annotation of a GenBank genome assembly.